UAUGUUUACGACGGCGUGUCUGAGGCUCGCUGCAGACCUGAAGCUUGAUAUCGAAUUCGCGUGUCGCCCUUAGAGUUUGAUCCUGGCUCAGGACGAACGCUGGCGGCGUGCUUAACACAUGCAAGUCGAACGAUGAAGCCCUUCGGGGUGGAUUAGUGGCGAACGGGUGAGUAACACGUGGGCAAUCUGCCCUGCACUCUGGGACAAGCCCUGGAAACGGGGUCUAAUACCGGAUACUGACCACUGGGGGCAUCCUCGGUGGUCGAAAGCUCCGGCGGUGCAGGAUGAGCCCGCGGCCUAUCAGCUUGUUGGUGAGGUAGUGGCUCACCAAGGCGACGACGGGUAGCCGGCCUGAGAGGGCGACCGGCCACACUGGGACUGAGAUACGGCCCAGACUCCUACGGGAGGCAGCAGUGGGGAAUAUUGCACAAUGGGCGAAAGCCUGAUGCAGCGACGCCGCGUGAGGGAUGACGGCCUUCGGGUUGUAAACCUCUUUCAGCAGGGAAGAAGCGAAAGUGACGGUACCUGCAGAAGAAGCGCCGGCUAACUACGUGCCAGCAGCCGCGGUAAUACGUAGGGCGCGAGCGUUGUCCGGAAUUAUUGGGCGUAAAGAGCUCGUAGGCGGCUUGUCACGUCGGUUGUGAAAGCCCGGGGCUUAACCCCGGGUCUGCAGUCGAUACGGGCAGGCUAGAGUUCGGUAGGGGAGAUCGGAAUUCCUGGUGUAGCGGUGAAAUGCGCAGAUAUCAGGAGGAACACCGGUGGCGAAGGCGGAUCUCUGGGCCGAUACUGACGCUGAGGAGCGAAAGCGUGGGGAGCGAACAGGAUUAGAUACCCUGGUAGUCCACGCCGUAAACGGUGGGCACUAGGUGUGGGCAACAUUCCACGUUGUCCGUGCCGCAGCUAACGCAUUAAGUGCCCGCCUGGGGAGUACGGCCGCAAGGCUAAACUCAAAGGAAUUGACGGGGGCCG
Molecule: ribosomal RNA, 969 nt
Filed under: Streptomyces sp.
Lineage: Bacteria; Bacillati; Actinomycetota; Actinomycetes; Kitasatosporales; Streptomycetaceae
Description: partial 16S ribosomal RNA
Rfam family: Bacterial small subunit ribosomal RNA
Source: RNAcentral